GAUGAACGCUGGCGGCGUGCCUAAUACAUGCAAGUCGAGCGAACAGACGAGGAGCUUGCUCCUCUGACGUUAGCGGCGGACGGGUGAGUAACACGUGGAUAACCUACCUAUAAGACUGGGAUAACUUCGGGAAACCGGAGCUAAUACCGGAUAAUAUAUUGAACCGCAUGGUUCAAUAGUGAAAGACGGUUUUGCUGUCACUUAUUGAUGGAUCCGCGCCGCAUUAGCUAGUUGGUAAGGUAACGGCUUACCAAGGCGACGAUGCGUAGCCGACCUGAGAGGGUGAUCGGCCACACUGGAACUGAGACACGGUCCAGACUCCUACGGGAGGCAGCAGUAGGGAAUCGUCCGCAAUGGGCGAAAGCCUGACGGAGCAACGCCGCGUGAGUGAUGAAGGUCUUCGGAUCGUAAAACUCUGUUAUUAGGGAAGAACAAAUGUGUAAGUAACUAUGCACGUCUUGACGGUACCUAAUCAGAAAGCCACGGCUAACUACGUG
Molecule: ribosomal RNA, 497 nt
Filed under: uncultured bacterium
Lineage: Bacteria
Description: partial 16S ribosomal RNA
Rfam family: Bacterial small subunit ribosomal RNA
Source: RNAcentral